AUUGAAACACCAAUUUCCAUACGACCACUGAAGUUAAGCAUUGUCAAUCCUGGCCAGUACCUAGAUGGGUGACUGCUUGGAAAUACCAGGUGCUGUAAG
This is a non-coding RNA of Acanthosepion pharaonis, 99 nucleotides long. Lineage: Eukaryota; Metazoa; Mollusca; Cephalopoda; Sepiida; Sepiidae. The record is from the annotation of a GenBank genome assembly.